CGUACGCUGGCGGCAGGCCUAACACAUGCAAGUCGAGCGGAUGAAGGGAGCUUGCUCCUGGAUUCAGCGGCGGACGGGUGAGUAAUGCCUAGGAAUCUGCCUGGUAGUGGGGGAUAACGUCCGGAAACGGGCGCUAAUACCGCAUACGUCCUGAGGGAGAAAGUGGGGGAUCUUCGGACCUCACGCUAUCAGAUGAGCCUAGGUCGGAUUAGCUAGUUGGUGGGGUAAAGGCCUACCAAGGCGACGAUCCGUAACUGGUCUGAGAGGAUGAUCAGUCACACUGGAACUGAGACACGGUCCAGACUCCUACGGGAGGCAGCAGUGGGGAAUAUUGGACAAUGGGCGAAAGCCUGAUCCAGCCAUGCCGCGUGUGUGAAGAAGGUCUUCGGAUUGUAAAGCACUUUAAGUUGGGAGGAAGGGCAGUAAGUUAAUACCUUGCUGUUUUGACGUUACCAACAGAAUAAGCACCGGCUAACUUCGUGCCAGCCCCGCCGCGGUA
This 499-nucleotide ribosomal RNA is filed under the name Pseudomonas aeruginosa. RNAcentral's name for it is "bacterial SSU rRNA". It matches the Rfam family "Bacterial small subunit ribosomal RNA", at positions 30 to 522 of the family's 1533-position model. The record is from RNAcentral. Lineage: Bacteria; Pseudomonadati; Pseudomonadota; Gammaproteobacteria; Pseudomonadales; Pseudomonadaceae.